Molecule: ribosomal RNA, 741 nt
Filed under: uncultured bacterium
Lineage: Bacteria
Description: bacterial SSU rRNA
Rfam family: Bacterial small subunit ribosomal RNA
Source: RNAcentral
UCGCACGAGAACGUUCUGGCUUUGCCAGGACAAGUACAGUGGCGGACGGGUGCGUAUCGCGUAGAUAACCUGCCCUCAGGCGCGGGACAAUCACGGGAAACCGUGGCUAAUACCGCACGUCGUCUGGGCCCCGCAUGGGGACCAGAUGAAAGCUUGGGGUUACCCAGGCGCCUUGGGAUGGGUCUGCGUUGGAUUAGCUUGUUGGUGAGGCAACGGCUCACCAAGGCGACGAUCCAUAGCUGGUCUGAGAGGACGAUCAGCCACACUGGGACUGAGACACGGCCCAGACUCCUACGGGAGGCAGCAGUGGGGAAUCUUGCACAAUGGGGUCACCCCUGAUGCAGCCAUGCCGCGUGGAGGAAGACACCCCUAUGGGGCGUAAACUCCUUUUCUGAAUGAAGAAACCCCUGUAGGUUCAGGGCGCGACGGUAGUUCAGGAAUAAGCACCGGCUAACUCCGUGCCAGCAGCCGCGGUAAUACGGAGGGUGCAAGCGUUGUCCGGAAUCACUGGGUGUAAAGGGUGUGCAGGCGGGGCAACAAGUCGGAUGUGAAACCCCAUGGCUCAACCAUGGAGGUGCAUUCGAAACUGUUGCUCUUGAGUCCCGGAGAGGCUGUCGGAAUUCGUGGUGUAGCGGUGAAAUGCGUAGAUAUCACGAGGAACACCAGAGGCGAAAGCGGGCAGCUGGACGGGUACUGACGCUCAGGCACGAAAGCGUGGGGAGCAAACAGGAUUAGAUACCC